AAGACCUURUGCUUUUGGAGCGGCCGAUGUCUGAUUAGCUAGUUGGUAAGGUAAUGGCYUACCAAGGCAACGAUCAGUAGUUGGUCUGAGAGGACAACCAGCCACACUGGGACUGAGACACGGCCCAGACUCCUACGGGAGGCAGCAGUGGGGAAUUUUGGACAAUGGGCGCAAGCCUGAUCCAGCAAUGCCGCGUGAGUGAAGAAGGCCUUCGGGUUGUAAAGCUCUUUCAGUUGAGAAGAAARAAUUCUGGUUAAUACCUGGAAUUUAUGACGGUAUCGACAGAAGAAGCACCGGCUAACUACGUGCCAGCAGCCGCGGUAAUACGUAGGGUGCAAGCGUUAAUCGGAAUUACUGGACGUAAAGGGUGCGCAGGUGGUUUUGUAAGUCAGAUGUGAAAUCCCCGGGCUUAACCUGGGAAUU
RNAcentral lists this ribosomal RNA (423 nucleotides) under uncultured bacterium. RNAcentral's name for it is "bacterial SSU rRNA". It matches the Rfam family "Bacterial small subunit ribosomal RNA", at positions 207 to 622 of the family's 1533-position model. The record is from RNAcentral.